RNAcentral lists this transfer RNA (77 nucleotides) under Clostridia bacterium. RNAcentral's name for it is "tRNA-Arg". It matches the Rfam family "tRNA". From Rfam's summary of the family: Transfer RNA (tRNA) molecules are approximately 80 nucleotides in length. Their secondary structure includes four short double-helical elements and three loops (D, anti-codon, and T loops). Lineage: Bacteria; Bacillati; Bacillota; Clostridia. The record is from RNAcentral.
GCGCCUUUACCUCAGCUGGAUAGAGGGUUCGGCUACGAACCGAAAUGCCGGGGGUUCGAGUCCCUCAAGGCGCGCCA